This 5687-nucleotide long non-coding RNA is filed under the name Triticum aestivum (bread wheat). Its description in RNAcentral is "long non-coding RNA (TAES_LNC011470)". The stretch from base 4582 to 4716 matches the Rfam family "MIR1120/MIR1122 microRNA precursor family". The record is from RNAcentral. Lineage: Eukaryota; Viridiplantae; Streptophyta; Magnoliopsida; Poales; Poaceae.
GUAAGUUACCUUCUAUUUUUGCAAGCACAUUAUUUGCCAUGCACGCAAGAGAGCACGUCCAGUUACUUCUUGUUGGUUUACCAAUUAUAUAAACAUCACAUUGUCGAGCCUGCUUCCAUACAAGUAACCAUUUCAUGUCUAUGUCUAUGGAACAGCGCUAAACGUCUAAAAACAACAGAAACAUUGUGCCAUGAAACUAAGCACUGCCUGAGACCUUGUUUCGUUUUCAACUUUUACAUCAUGGUCCUUUUGAUGACUGAUGCAAUCGUUGCAUUGGCACCUUUGUUCAUCAAGAAACAUUCACUGUUUUUCUUCACAUAGAUUACAAUGGAAGGAAUCUGGCAGGUCAGUACCUAUAUUAGCAGAUUAAAAUGUAGGAAGUUAAGCGAUAAGAAAACAAAAUCACAAUGUCCCUAUGCUCAAUCUACUUCAGUGUUCCAGCGUUGAGAAAGGACAGACUAAGAACCUGAACUAUCUGAAUUCUAUUUAGGCCUGGACACAUUGCCAGGUUGAAUCCGACGACACACUCGAUUCUUAGGUUGACGGCGAACGACAUCUGGAUGAGGCACAAUGAACAUGCUCUUAUAUCCUUGAAAAUGUGCAGCAAAAUAUUGCUGCACUUGAGAAUGAUAGGCUAAGUGGAUAAGCUUAAGUGACUAAAACCAACUAUAUAUUGUUCCUUUUUCAAACAAAAAACUUAGGUCAAUUCAAAGUGAAAAAAGAAUUAAACUGAAUUAUGAAAACACUUCUAAAAAGGACAAUACAUGGAAGUAUUUAUCUUUCAUUCAUAUAUCGUCUUUUCUAGAAGCAUUUUCAAAAGGGAAGUUUCUCCAUACCAGUUUGCUCCCUAACGCUUUUUUUUGUUAAAUCAUACGUUUUUUAGAAAAAGGGAAAAUGUACUCUUUGUUCACCACUUAUGUAACUAAAUCUUGGUUGCUGCGGAUUAUAAAAAAAGUUAGGUUACUUUAGUAAGCGCUUCUAUACUCUAAUUCUCGAUAUUGUUGCCAUGCGCGGUGCACAUGGCUAUGCUCAGCACGAUUUACACAGCUACACUGACCCUUGAACAGACCCUUGAACAUUGUGUUCUCUUUCUGGAUGUUAAAUUGGACUGAGUGCUCUUUUUCUAAGAAACUUCAUUCAAAAGACUCCAAAAUACCGGUGACUUCCAUGAGUACUGACAUGUAUAUAUUUAGUGAAAAAUUCCUCAAAAAGCAAAAGAGAGUGUAUAUUUUCGUCAAAAUUCCUCAAAAAGGUUAUUGAUUUUCUGUCAAAUCCAGAAAACAGAACUGACUGAACACGAGACAUCGGUGUUUCCUAAAGCUUGCCAAACCAAAUUUAAGAACCAUUAUAUCAAUAAUAAAAUUGUCUCUGACCUUGUAUCUAACCUGAAUGCACAUAUUGCUUGAGCUGAAGAUGUAGUUCUUCUGACCUUAGAGAAACUAAUUGUGUGGCCGGAAGUGGUGGACCCACCUGAUUAGUAGGUAGUAGGCAUUAAAAUGUGAUCUUCAUAAGUGAAAUGAAAUUGCUGGCUAGCAUCCAUUUGCUAAUAAAAUCAAUUCAUAAUUGAUGUGUAUUCAUUUGAAGUUAGAACAGAAACUGACAUACCAUAACUCUACAGAUGGGGUACAGAAUCCAAUAUCGUCCCCUUUUGAUAAAUCAGCCUGACUAAAUGUGACAAUAUCAGUGUGCUAAGAUUCAUCUAUCAGCUAUGGUGCGAGGAGCAUGUAUCUUUUCGUCAUCAGAUCUUGUAGUUUUGGAUUCCACGCAUUAUAAACAAUUAACGUCCAGGUGCAACCCCACCACACCCCACCGAGAAUCAAUUGCCACCGCAAAAUGUUAACUAAGACCAUCCAUGGCUCAAUGGCCACGAAGCGCAUAGCAAAGUAAGGGAGGGGAUCUGGAGUAGCUCACCAUGGCAAAUUUGUGGCUCGCGCUGGCUCAGCAGCGGGGCCAACCUCUACUUCUGCACAAGGAGAAGAGUCCAUCCAUAAACAAUAGGAAUUGGAGCCAAUUAAGCCAAAAAGUAGCAGAACUUUAAAUAAUCCUACAUUAUCCGCGACCAUGAAUGAAACAGAGCACAAGAGAACUUCCAUGGCGUCGUCCCUGCACCAAUUCCAUAACGAUAAUGAUACAACUUCCAGUAAAACAAAUCAUUCAUAGAGCAACUUAAAGUAAAACAAAUUGUUCAGACAGGUUCAUACAUACAGGCAUGGGAAAUUGUCACAGGGAACAAUUGCAUACCUAUAUAUUCCACAACCAUGACAAUGAUACUACUGUUUUGAGGCCUUAAAUCACAAUGCCCGGUCUUAGCUGUAAACUCCUGCUCACAAUAGACAAAACACCCAAAACUAUAAACUCUUCCUGCUCACAUCAUCAUCUCCAGAAUUACCGUAAACUAUUGCAUACCAGGCCUCACGGCAUAAGUGCUGGAUUCUGAGCUAUCUCUCGCCUCCAGUCACCUUACACACCAAUUCUCCUUGAAUACUUGAUGAUGUUUUGCUGCUGAUGCCACUUUUUAUUUUAUUUUCAGAUGAAGCGCUGGGGAGGGCGUCAGUAGAAUGCUUCAUCAAAAAAUUCAUCUGAUCUGCAAAAACUAUGUUUAAUGGUAUGCAAUUUACUCUUGUGUUAGAUGAGAUCAUAUACGUAAUCCGUGCGAUGGAACAGAUUUUAUUGCUAAAAGACUGAAUAAGGCGGACAUGGUACCUUCUCUAUUUGAGCAAGCACACUGCUUGCUGUGCUCAUGUAUAACUUCUUUAGAACACUAUGCUUCAUCUUACCGAACUGGAGUAGACGGCCUAUUUCCAAAAGCACUGAGUUGAAAGUGAAAGAGGGCCAUUAAGAUCAUCAAUUCUUCCUGUACCAUUCUGUUCCUUUCCUCGCUACAUGUUGAUUGACCACCUGCUUCACUGUGAACAUUUUAAGAUAGAGCCAUAAGUUAUUAUAUAGACCAUUCAUUCCUUUCGAUCAAACAUUCACAUUUGUUAGAAUCACUACAGUAAACACCAUGGUUAUUAUUUUGGGUAUACUGCAGUUGUAUUUUACACUGACAGAACUGGACAAUUUAAGCUAAGUUCAUGUCAGUGUUGCGACUCUUCAUCUACAUUUAAACUGAUGAACAAUUGUAUACAGCAUGAAUGUAGUAUUCUACUCUAGAUUGAAUACGGAAGAUAGGAUACUCCUAUACUUGCACAAGCAUGUUGUUUUGCUGCACAGACAUUUAAGUUCAUGUUGUCAUAUAGAAAAGUGAUUCCAUCCAGAACAUUAUGGAAGUAUUGCAUACCUGGCCUCAGAGCAGAAGUGCUAAAUUCUGAGCCAUCCCUCGCCUCCAGUCACCUUGCAUGCCAAUUCUCCUUGAAUACUUGAUUAUGUUUUGCUGCUGAUGCCACUUCUUAUUUUAUUUUCAGAUGAAGAACUGGGGCGGUUGUCAGUGGAAUACUUCAAAUAGAGUGCACCAGAUCUGCCGAGACUAUAAAUUUACUUUAUGUUAUAUGAGAUCAUAUAUGUAAUCCAUGUGAUGGAACAGAGUUUAUUUCUAGAAGACUGAAUAAGGCGGACAUGGUACCUUCUCUAUUUGAGCAAGAACACUGCUUGCUGUGCUCAUGUAUAACUUCUUUAGAACACUAUGCUUCAUCUUACCGAACUGGAGUAGACAGCCUAUUCCUAAAAGCACUAGUUGCUAUUUAAUUGCAUAUUUUAGCUGCAUACACCUCACAAGCAAAAGGGCAAUUUGAUACAUCUGCAAUCCAUUUUGCCACCUACAUGCGAACAGGGAAACACACAGCGAGAUUACAUCAUAUCAAAAUAAAAAGGCAAUGGACUAACAAGUACAUACCAUAAUAGUCACCCUUAACUGAUUUUAAAAGAAGAACUUGAGCGCCUAGGGAAACAGUGCAGCUUUUGACAGCUACCCCAUGGACUAGUGGUACAGAAUCCUUCCUGUACGAGCAAGGGUGCACAGGAUGGUGAGCACAGACUUCAAAAAAUGUAAACCAGUAUUCGUCGAACCAAAAAAAUUGAUACACAUAAUGCUUAGUUUAUUUAGUGGUAAUACAAAUAGGCACACCAGAUUCUUAUCUCUAUUCAAAUUAGUCAUUGUUGUUUAAUCACAUCUCUUGGCUGCAUACAUCUCACAAGCAAAAGGGCACAUUGAUUUGCAGGAUCCUCAGAAACUAAAGAAUACAGCACAGACACGCUCGCAAGAUAGCAGAUUGAGAACACGUAAAUUUUGAGAACAUGCGUGUUUGGUGCAUGAAUAAGAAGAAAAAAGUGACAAAAACAAAAGAAUAUUAAUAAACUAAAUAGUCGAAUUGUAUUUAAACAAGACAAAAAAAAGUCUAAAUAGAAUGUUACCAUGCUACAAAAAAUACAACCAUCUCACACCCCAGGAAUUUUUAAAGGACAUCCUUUUCUCCCUACGUGUUUCCUUUGUUUUACCUAUGAACCAGAGAGGCGAUAAACGCUUAAGCAUCUAACAUCCUUCAACUGACAAACACAAACGCUAGCUAAUUCCUGCGUCCUCUAGCACGCCUUUUGCACUUGAAACAUUUGGAUCUUUCAAAACCAACAAAUUAGAAGCUAAGAUAAAUACUCCCUCCGUCCGAAAAUACUUGUCAUCAAAAUGGACAAAAAGGGAUGUAUGUAGAACCAAAAUACAUCUAGAAACAUCCCCUUUUAUUCAUUUUGAUGACAAGUAUUUCUGGACGGAGGGAGUACAUUAUUAGUUUUCCCUUGCUAUUCACCUUAUAGGACCAACUAUAUGAGCUAGACAUUAGAAAAAUUCAACUAAAAUUGACAAACAUAUUAAACUACUUAAAGCGAGUUCAUUUAGCAUAGCAGUGGAUACUGAGCUAGUGGUGGGGGUGGGGCUAAGUUUUUUAAUCUUAGCGCAUCGCCUCACAUCCAUUAGCACUGGUGCUAGAAAAAAAAUCUAGCCCUCGGCAUCAGCAUGCAAAGAGCAUUUGCAUAGGUAGAAAUGGAAGGUUAGAAAGAAGGACUGACGAUGACACUAAAUAAUGUGAGGAUAAGUGCUAAAAUCAAAAGGCUUAACAUGGCCUGAAUAAAAUGUAUUUUGAAAAAUCUACCUCUCAAUUUAGCACCUCCCAAUAAGUGGUACUAAGAGUUGCGGCAAAAAAAUAAAAACUGAUUUAACAAGGUGAAUAGAGAAGAGAAGUUCAUGUGUCCCACUUAGCCUAUCGCAUAGGGGUUGGGAUGCGAAUGCACCAAGAUGACAAAUUACAUGGUUGGUAUGAUUUAUCUUAUCCUCGUGUGUUUGACUCUAGUGCUAUAACCAAAGGUGGUGUACGACAACUGUGGUUUGUAGGACUAUCAAAACAUGGCGAAGGAACCUUGGUUAAUAAUGAUAUAAAUGACCAGAAAAAUAGUAUAACUGGGAAACUAAAAAAGAAAAAAAUGCAUCAAUCAAAGAGGUUACGGAAUUGAAACAAGAGCACGGCAAUCUUUCUCUAAAAAUAGAGUGCAAAUGAGUGCUUACUUAGGGAAAAUUCCUAAAGAUACAAAUCAUCUGGGAAAAUAACCUAUAAAAUCGAAGACGCCCUGAUGUAAAAUAGAGCCAGCAGAUGGCUAUGAAUCUUUCUUGCAUCAACCACCCACCCAUUAAAACAUAUCUAACGUCAAAUACUAAUAAUAAUACUCGAACAUCCUCAGAUCGAACCAAACGGAACCGAACC